This is a long non-coding RNA of Carassius auratus (goldfish), 1458 nucleotides long. RefSeq lists it as uncharacterized. The record is from RefSeq and is a predicted model, not a curated record. NCBI's taxonomy places the organism in Eukaryota, Metazoa, Chordata, Actinopteri, Cypriniformes, Cyprinidae. The transcript has 6 exons.
UCUUACAGACAACAUCUCAGCAGGGUGCGAGUUCCCAAGAGCUCCCCACUACAUCUACACUUCAUGAAGUUGGAUGUCAGUCAGACCCUAUAGAGACCGAAACUGUAGCCACAGAGAUAAAGCCGAAGAUGCGAUCAGUGGGCACACAACUUUCAAUGGGUACAUUGAGCAGUUUCCACUUAAGGAGCAAAGGUAUGAAAUACAGACAUUAAAUGUGUAUGUGUUACUUUAUCAUAUGCAGUUCUAGUACAUAUUGUCUUUUUUUAUUAUAAUUGUUAUACCGGCUGCUGAAACUUAUGUGUAUUAGAAAGUGCCUUAUGUUUCUCACUGUAAAAAUAAAUUGUAACAGCAUGACCGACGUUUAUGAGUAAUUGUAUUUUUUACUUUUUUUUUUUGUACUUGUAGGCAUUCAGUCAACAUAUUAUGGUCAUGAUGUGGGCACCCAAACAACUGACAUGUUUCCUGAUGUGCAGCUGUCUUCAACACCAGUAAGGGGCUCAGUCUUCAGGCCCAGUAAGAGACCUCGUCUGGUGUUAGAUGAGGAAGAAGAAUCAGAAUUAAAUGUCGAACCCACUGAUUCCACAUAUAACCCAGAUUCUGUUGUCACUGAAGAAUCAGAAUUGGCGAUAGAUCCACAGCCCGACCACAGCGAUAACAAAUACAUUGUUUUUGAAAGCUGUCUUCAAGAGUGUCCUGUCCAAUUUGUAAGACAAAGUGUGUUGUCCAGAGCAGACGAAGGGGGACUUUUGUUGCAUUGACCCAGCUUUGUGAAAAGUGUAACUACUACAGACAGUGGCAGAGCCAGCCCAUUGUUGGGAGUACCCCACUUGGAAACCUGCUAUUGUCUGCUGCAACGUAUUUUACCGGUCGAUCUUUUAAACAACUAGAGAAGAUUUUCAAAGCCAUGAAGCUCCAGAUGAUGCAUUUGGUAACUUUUAGGAUUCAUGCCAGGAAUUUCAUUGAGCCUACCAUAAUACACCAGUGGAACCAAGAUCAACUAAAUCUUAUAAGACAGCUGCAAGAGGGAGGAAAUGUUGCUGUGGCUGGAGAUAUGCGUGCUGACACGCCAGGACACUCAGCUAAAUUUGGCAGCUACACCAUUAUGCACAUGGAAACCAACAAAAUCUGGAUCUUCAACUAGUUCAGAGCAAUGAGGUUGGUGGCAGUUAUCAUAUGGAAAAGGCGGGAUUGAAGCGUUGUCUUGAUAAGCUGGAGUCUAAUGGUUUAGCUGUUGACUACAUCGUCACCGAUCGCCAUCCGCAGAUUCAGAAGUACCUGAGGGACCGCAAUAUCACUCAGUUCUAUGACGUGUGGCACUUUGAGAAAGGUUUAUCUAAGAAACUUGACAAACUUUCAAAAAUGAAGGACUGCGAGGUGCUGAAAAAAUGGUUGCACAGCAUCAAAAACCAUGUUUACUGGAGUGCGAUUUCCUCUGAGUCUGGGCCAGAAAAGGUGGCU